AGUGAACGCUGGCGGUAGGCCUAACACAUGCAAGUCGAACGGCAGCACAGUAAGAGCUUGCUCUUACGGGUGGCGAGUGGCGGACGGGUGAGGAAUACAUCGGAUUCUACUUUUUCGUGGGGGAUAACGUAGGGAAACUUACGCUAAUACCGCAUACGACCUACGGGUGAAAUCAGGGGAUCUUCGGACUUUUCGCGACUGAAUGAGCCGAUGUCGGAUUAGGUAGUUGGCGGGGUAAAGGCCCACCAAGGCGACGAUCCGUAGCUUGUCUGAGAGGAUGAUCAGCCACCCUGGAACUGAGCAACGGUCCAGACUCCUACGGGAGGCAGCAGUGGGGAAUAUUGGACAAUGGGCGAAAGCCUGAUCCAGCCAUACCGCGUGGGUGAAGAAGGCCUUCGAGUUGUAAAGCCCUUUUGUUGGGAAAGAAAAGCAGCAGGUUAAUACCCCGCUGUUCUGACGGUACCCAAAGAAUAGGCACCGGCUAACUUCGU
RNAcentral lists this ribosomal RNA (491 nucleotides) under uncultured bacterium. RNAcentral describes it as "partial 16S ribosomal RNA". It matches the Rfam family "Bacterial small subunit ribosomal RNA", at positions 29 to 506 of the family's 1533-position model. The record is from RNAcentral.